CCACGGCAUUGCCUAGUACGGCGAGUGAAGCGGCAACAGCUCAAAUUUGAAAUCUGGCUCUUUCAGAGUCCGAGUUGUAAUUUGCAGAGGGCGCUUUGGCUUUGGCAGCGGUCCAAGUUCCUUGGAACAGGACGUCACAGAGGGUGAGAAUCCCGUACGUGGUCGCUAGCUAUUGCCGUGUAAAGCCCCUUCGACGAGUCGAGUUGUUUGGGAAUGCAGCUCUAAAUGGGAGGUAAAUUUCUUCUAAAGCUAAAUAUUGGCCAGAGACCGAUAGCGCACAAGUAGAGUGAUCGAAAGAUGAAAAGCACUUUGGAAAGAGAGUCAAACAGCACGUGAAAUUGUUGAAAGGGAAGCGCUUGCAGCCAGACUUGCUUGCAGUUGCUCAUCCGGGCUUUUGCCCGGUGCACUCUUCUGCAGGCAGGCCAGCAUCAGUUUGGGCGGUGGGAUAAAGGUCUCUGACACGUUCCUUCCUUCGGGUUGGCCAUAUAGGGGAGACGUCAUACCACCAGCCUGGACUGAGGUCCGCGCAUCUGCUAGGAUGCUGGCGUAAUGGCUGUAAGCGGCCCGUCUGA
RNAcentral lists this ribosomal RNA (572 nucleotides) under Curvularia lunata. Its description in RNAcentral is "eukaryotic LSU rRNA". It matches the Rfam family "Eukaryotic large subunit ribosomal RNA", at positions 65 to 656 of the family's 3401-position model. Lineage: Eukaryota; Fungi; Ascomycota; Dothideomycetes; Pleosporales; Pleosporaceae. The record is from RNAcentral.